GACAAAUAUAGAGGCGAAUGCUUGAGCCAAACAUUGACCUGAGAACAAGGUCCCCAUUGCUGGAGUUAGAGAAAGGAUUGAAGGAGCUGAAGGGGGUUGCAAGCCAAUAAAAAGAACAAUACCAACCAACUAGAGCUCCCAGGAAGUAAACCACCAUCCAAAGAGUACACAUGGACAUACCCUUGGCUCUAGCUACACAUGUAGAAGAGAAUGGCCUUGUUGGGCACCAAUUGGAGAAGAAGCCCUUUGUGCUGUCAAGGCUGGACUCCCCACGGAGAGAAGCAUAUUGGAAUAUUAACCAAAGCCUCUGCACAUACUGAAAUUUGAAGCUUCCUUAUAUUCACCCCAUUACCCCAGUUCAUUCUUAAUGUGCUGCAUCUCCCAGAGAGGAAGAAGUAAUUGUCAUAGCUCCAAUUAUCAGUUUCUCCUCCAACCCCUGGAAUCAUUUCAGGAUUUACCUUCAUCAUUCCACUACUUAGCCAGAGUUCCAAUUCCUGUCUGCUGGACAGCUCUUAACUGAAAUGCUUGCAAUAUCAGACCCAGUACCUGAGAGACCUCUAAGAAGGUGUAAUGCUUAUAUUCAACAGCUCUGCCCUAAAAUCCAAGCUCUAAUGGGAAUGGCUGAGAUAAUGAGAUCUACAGUGUCAACAACUUGAUGAUGAGCAUGAGAAUAGUGGAACCACAAAUCCCCGGAACUCUGCAGCCUGACAGCAGCAGUCCCUGACAAUUCCCUGAAAACUUUCUUUUUGAUACAGCUUGUGUAAAAAAAUAAACAGAAGCAGGUGUCUCACAGAAA
Long non-coding RNA from Rattus norvegicus (Norway rat), 796 nucleotides. RefSeq lists it as uncharacterized. The record is from RefSeq and is a predicted model, not a curated record. NCBI's taxonomy places the organism in Eukaryota, Metazoa, Chordata, Mammalia, Rodentia, Muridae.